GUAAUAAAUUAAGCCCUUAGGCUAAUGACGUUCUACAAUACAAAAAUAGAUUUGUGAUCGGGCAAAGAAGAAGCAUGUCAACGCCACAGGGUCCAAGAACCGCUGCAACACGUCAUUACCUCGACUUCGAAGGUGCACAGGUGUGAAUGGAAAUGAUCGAACCGAGCACAUACUCUGACGAGCCAGCAUCAAGUUCAGUAUCAACUCAUCAAAUGAUCCUUCCGCAGGUUCACCUACGGAAA
This 242-nucleotide unclassified non-coding RNA is filed under the name uncultured fungus. Its description in RNAcentral is "sequence contains ITS1". Lineage: Eukaryota; Fungi. The record is from RNAcentral.